GGUUAAGCGACUAAGCGUACACGGUGGAUGCCCUGGCAGUCAGAGGCGAUGAAGGACGUGCUAAUCUGCGAAAAGCGCCGGCGAGGUGAUAUGAACCUUUGACCCGGCGAUGUCCGAAUGGGGAAACCCAGUGCAAUCCGUUGCACUAUCGUUAACUGAAUACAUAGGUUAACGAGGCGAACCGGGGGAACUGAAACAUCUAAGUACCCCGAGGAAAAGAAAUCAACCGAGAUUCCCCCAGUAGCGGCGAGCGAACGGGGAGCAGCCCGGAGUCUGAAUCAGCUUGUGUGUUAGUGGAACGGUCUGGAAAGUCCGACGGUACAGGGUGAUAGUCCCGUACACGAAAAUGCACAUGCUGUGAACUCGAAGAGUAGGGCGGGACACGUGGUAUCCUGUCUGAAUAUGGGGGGACCAUCCUCCAAGGCUAAAUACUCCUGACUGACCGAUAGUGAACCAGUACCGUGAGGGAAAGGCGAAAAGAACCCCGGCGAGGGGAGUGAAAAAGAACCUGAAACCGUGUACGUACAAGCAGUGGGAGCCUCUUUAUGGGGUGACUGCGUACCUUUUGUAUAAUGGGUCAGCGACUUAUAUUCUGUAGCAAGGUUAACCGUAUAGGGGAGCCGAAGGGAAACCGAGUCUUAACUGGGCGUUAAGUUGCAGGGUAUAGACCCGAAACCCGGUGAUCUAGCCAUGGGCAGGUUGAAGGUUGGGUAACACUAACUGGAGGACCGAACCGACUAAUGUUGAAAAAUUAGCGGAUGACCUGUGGCUGGGGGUGAAAGGCCAAUCAAACCGGGAGAUAGCUGGUUCUCCCCGAAAGCUAUUUAGGUAGCGCCUCGUGAACUCAUCUUCGGGGGUAGAGCACUGUUUCGGCUAGGGGGCCAUCCCGGCUUACCAACCCGAUGCAAACUACGAAUACCGAAGAAUGUUAUCACGGGAGACACACGGCGGGUGCUAACGUCCGUCGUGAAGAGGGAAACAACCCAGACCGCCAGCUAAGGUCCCAAAGUCAUGGUUAAGUGGGAAACGAUGUGGGAAGGCACAGACAGCCAGGAUGUUGGCUUAGAAGCAGCCAUCAUUUAAAGAAAGCGUAAUAGCUCACUGGUCGAGUCGGCCUGCGCGGAAGAUGUAACGGGGCUAAACCAUGCACCGAAGCUGCGGCAGCGACACUUAUGUGUUGUUGGGUAGGGGAGCGUUCUGUAAGCCGUUGAAGGUGUGCUGUGAGGCAUGCUGGAGGUAUCAGAAGUGCGAAUGCUGACAUAAGUAACGAUAAAGCGGGUGAAAAGCCCGCUCGCCGGAAGACCAAGGGUUCCUGUCCAACGUUAAUCGGGGCAGGGUGAGUCGACCCCUAAGGCGAGGCCGAAAGGCGUAGUCGAUGGGAAACAGGUUAAUAUUCCUGUACUUGGUGUUACUGCGAAGGGGGGACGGAGAAGGCUAUGUCAGCCGGGCGACGGUUGUCCCGGUUUAAGCAUGUAGGCGGAGGUUCCAGGUAAAUCCGGUACCUUAUUAACGCUGAGGUGUGAUGACGAGGCACUACGGUGCUGAAGUGAUAAAUGCCCUGCUUCCAGGAAAAGCCUCUAAGCAUCAGGUAACACGAAAUCGUACCCCAAACCGACACAGGUGGUCAGGUAGAGAAUACCAAGGCGCUUGAGAGAACUCGGGUGAAGGAACUAGGCAAAAUGGUGCCGUAACUUCGGGAGAAGGCACGCUGAUGUGUAGGUGAAGCCCCUGCGGGUGGAGCUGAAAUCAGUCGAAGAUACCAGCUGGCUGCAACUGUUUAUUAAAAACACAGCACUGUGCAAACACGAAAGUGGACGUAUACGGUGUGACGCCUGCCCGGUGCCGGAAGGUUAAUUGAUGGGGUUAGCGGCAACGCGAAGCUCUUGAUCGAAGCCCCGGUAAACGGCGGCCGUAACUAUAACGGUCCUAAGGUAGCGAAAUUCCUUGUCGGGUAAGUUCCGACCUGCACGAAUGGCGUAAUGAUGGCCAGGCUGUCUCCACCCGAGACUCAGUGAAAUUGAACUCGCUGUGAAGAUGCAGUGUACCCGCGGCAAGACGGAAAGACCCCGUGAACCUUUACUAUAGCUUGACACUGAACACUGGUCCUUGAUGUGUAGGAUAGGUGGGAGGCUUUGAAGCGUGGACGCCAGUCUGCGUGGAGCCAACCUUGAAAUACCACCCUUUAAUGGCUGGUGUUCUAACGUAGACCCGUAAUCCGGGUUGCGGACAGUGUCUGGUGGGUAGUUUGACUGGGGCGGUCUCCUCCCAAAGAGUAACGGAGGAGCACGAAGGUUGGCUAAUCCUGGUCGGACAUCAGGAGGUUAGUGCAAUGGCAUAAGCCAGCUUGACUGCGAGCGUGACGGCGCGAGCAGGUGCGAAAGCAGGUCAUAGUGAUCCGGUGGUUCUGAAUGGAAGGGCCAUCGCUCAACGGAUAAAAGGUACUCCGGGGAUAACAGGCUGAUACCGCCCAAGAGUUCAUAUCGACGGCGGUGUUUGGCACCUCGAUGUCGGCUCAUCACAUCCUGGGGCUGAAGUAGGUCCCAAGGGUAUGGCUGUUCGCCAUUUAAAGUGGUACGCGAGCUGGGUUUAGAACGUCGUGAGACAGUUCGGUCCCUAUCUGCCGUGGGCGCUGGAGAAUUGAGGGGGGCUGCUCCUAGUACGAGAGGACCGGAGUGGACGCAUCACUGGUGUUCGGGUUGUCAUGCCAAUGGCACUGCCCGGUAGCUAAAUGCGGAAGAGAUAAGUGCUGAAAGCAUCUAAGCACGAAACUUGCCCCGAGAUGAGUUCUCCCUGAGACUUUAAGUCUCCUGAAGGAACGUUGAAGACGACGACGUUGAUAGGUCGGGUGUGUAAGCGCAGCGAUGCGUUGAGCUAACCGAUACUAAUGAACCGUGAGGCUUAACCUU
RNAcentral lists this ribosomal RNA (2906 nucleotides) under Enterobacter hormaechei. Its description in RNAcentral is "23S ribosomal RNA". It matches the Rfam family "Bacterial large subunit ribosomal RNA". Lineage: Bacteria; Pseudomonadati; Pseudomonadota; Gammaproteobacteria; Enterobacterales; Enterobacteriaceae. The record is from RNAcentral. RNAcentral also lists the same sequence under 1 other name.